UUUCCACAGCUUUCUUGACCUUUGCUUCAUGUGUCACAGACAGCUGCUGCAGCAACAGCAUCACACGCACACCCAAGUUGGAAAGAGAGUAAGAGGAUGAUGCCAGAGA
RNAcentral lists this microRNA precursor (109 nucleotides) under Ochotona princeps (American pika). RNAcentral describes it as "miRNA (ENSOPRG00000017757.1)". The record is from RNAcentral. Lineage: Eukaryota; Metazoa; Chordata; Mammalia; Lagomorpha; Ochotonidae.